AUGAACACUAGGUGUCGGGGGAAUCGACCCCCUCGGUGUCGUAGCCAACGCGUUAAGUGUUCCGCCUGGGGAGUACGCACGCAAGUGUGAAACUCAAAGGAAUUGACGGGGGCCCGCACAAGCGGUGGAGUAUGUGGUUUAAUUCGAUGCAACGCGAAGAACCUUACCAGGGUUUGACAUCCUGCGAAUCUCUUGGAAACAGGAGAGUGCCUUCGGGAACGCAGUGACAGGUGGUGCAUGGCUGUCGUCAGCUCGUGUCGUGAGAUGUUGGGUUAAGUCCCGCGACGAGCGCAACCCACGUCUUUAGUUGCCAGCAUUUAGUUGGGCACUCUAGAGAGACUGCCGGUGAUAAACCGGAGGAAGGUGUGGAUGACGUCAAGUCAUCAUGCCCCUUACAUCCUGGGCUACACACGUACUACAAUGCUACGGACAAAGGGCAGCAAGUUCGCGAGGACAAGCAAAUCCCAUAAACCGUGGCUCAGUUCAGAUCGUAGGCUGCAACUCGCCUACGUGAAGGCGGAAUCGCUAGUAAUCGCAGGUCAGCAUACUGCGGUGAAUACGUUCCCGGGCCUUGUACACAC
Molecule: ribosomal RNA, 581 nt
Filed under: uncultured marine bacterium
Lineage: Bacteria
Description: bacterial SSU rRNA
Rfam family: Bacterial small subunit ribosomal RNA
Source: RNAcentral